UAAAAGAGGAAAUAAAUUAUUUUAUUGAUUCAUAGUGAAAUGUUUACAUAAAAUUUACCGCAAUGUAAAUUACAUUGAGAACUGACAAUAAUAUUACAGCAUUGAAUUACACAAAUUCUUGCACAUGACUACUAAGAAUCACACGGUUUUCCCUUUGCUCUUCCACUCCACAAAAUUAGGGUCAAAUCCCCACUCUUUUCCUCUCAAUUACAGCUUGCACAACAAAUCACAUCCCUCACUCAUACUUAUCCCCUCAUCAUACUCACACGGAUUCUUUCUCAAGUCCUCAAAAAUAACUUCAAAUUUCACAUGCUUUCCACCUUCAAACACUUAUAAUUAACCCUAAAAAUCACUAUAAAACCUAGCCAUCAUUCGUGCAAUUCCUCAACAGCCAAAAAAACAUAUAGAACUCAUAGUCACUAAUUUCCUUGAGCAUCCAAUAUGCAGCCACCUUCAAGUUCCCCUUCACUAAAGCUCUUUUAUAGCCAUUAGAGUUUCACCUUGAAGCUCUAAUUGAGCUGAGCUAAGCAACAUCUCAGUAGAAGCAAUAUACAGACAUAUUCAGAAGAAGCAGAAAGAAGGAGAAAAGGUACACAAGAGUGGAAAGAAGAAAAAUAAGUAGAAAGAAUGAGAAGAAUACACAUGAGUGGAAAAAAAGCAUUACCUGAGAUAUCAAGCUUGUCGGAAGUUGGAGCUCCUCACCGGAAAAUUUCCAGCUUCGAUUUGGUAUCUCUGUUACCUUUUGUGGUUUUCUCUUCAUGUUUUCUUGUUGGCAUGUGUGGUAUAACCAUUUUUCAUAGGAUAAUUUUUAGUAACUUUUAUUUGUUUGUAUGGAUUGAAUAGUUGGGGGAGGGGUUUACGGUUUAUACGGAUUUGCUUUGAUUUAGUAUGAUUAAUAUUUUGGUUUUUUAUUUUUGAUCUUAUAUUCGUGUUUAGAGUGUAAAGUUAGGUGGGGUUGGUGUUAGGAUUUUGUUGAUUCGAGUGGGUUUUGUGCAUUUAUAGUUUUAAUACUUAAGAACACUCAAAGUGUUAUUGCGUACUCUUGAUGAACAUUCAUAAGAAUCUAGGAAAAAGGGGUGUUAGAUCUUAUAGAGAGAAAAAUUGUGAGUGUUUAUUAUUUUCAGAGACAGUAGAGGGAAGAGAGAGGGAGAGGGAGAAAUAUCUAUAUAAAGACUUGAUAGAUAUCAAGUUAAUUUUCAAAACAAAAAAAUUUCAUCAUUCCUUCAUCGAAUUCAGAACCAUUUCAUAAUCAAAUCAAUUUCAUACAAAUGCGAAUCAAACACUUGAUCAACAUCAAAUAUUUUGCGAACUUAAUCAAGAACACUUCAAAAACUUCUUUCA
Molecule: long non-coding RNA, 1341 nt
Filed under: Lathyrus oleraceus (garden pea)
Lineage: Eukaryota; Viridiplantae; Streptophyta; Magnoliopsida; Fabales; Fabaceae
Description: Pisum sativum (pea) long non-coding RNA (PSAT_LNC021660)
Source: RNAcentral